This 430-nucleotide ribosomal RNA is filed under the name Fusobacteriota bacterium. RNAcentral describes it as "Fusobacteria bacterium partial 16S ribosomal RNA". It matches the Rfam family "Bacterial small subunit ribosomal RNA", at positions 355 to 776 of the family's 1533-position model. The record is from RNAcentral. Lineage: Bacteria; Fusobacteriati; Fusobacteriota.
UAGGGAAUCUUCGGCAAUGGACGAAAGUCUGACCGAGCAACGCCGCGUGAGUGAAGAAGGUUUUCGGAUCGUAAAACUCUGUUGUUAGAGAAGAACAAGGAUGAGAGUAGAAUGUUCAUCCCUUGACGGUAUCUAACCAGAAAGCCACGGCUAACUACGUGCCAGCAGCCGCGGUAAUACGUAGGUGGCAAGCGUUGUCCGGAUUUAUUGGGCGUAAAGCGAGCGCAGGCGGUUUCUUAAGUCUGAUGUGAAAGCCCCCGGCUCAACCGGGGAGGGUCAUUGGAAACUGGGAAACUUGAGUGCAGAAGAGGGGAGUGGAAUUCCAUGUGUAGCGGUGAAAUGCGUAGAUAUAUGGAGGAACACCAGUGGCGAAGGCGGCUCUCUGGUCUGUAACUGACGCUGAGGCUCGAAAGCGUGGGGAGCAAACAGG